Molecule: long non-coding RNA, 1873 nt
Organism: Schistocerca cancellata (South American locust)
Lineage: Eukaryota; Metazoa; Arthropoda; Insecta; Orthoptera; Acrididae
Exons: 3
Source: RefSeq, a predicted model, not a curated record
CAGCACGGCACCACCACCGACGCAGACGACGGAGCGGCGCGACAUGAACGGAGGGACUGCAGUUUAGAGAAAAACAUCUGCAAAAGCGCAAAAAGCGUACAUUGCCUCAACAGUUGCCAGAGGAACAUGAGUUACAUGAAAUAGCGACUGGAAUACAAAACGAAAAUGUUUCCUCCCAGGCUGCUGUUGCAACCACCGAAAAGGCAAUGGAACGUUUGAAUAUACAAGAAAACAAUCUGCAAAAGCAAGAAAAGCCUACAUUGACUCAACAGUUGCCAGAGGAAGAUGGGUUACAUGAAAUAGCAACAGGGAUACAAGACAAAAAUGUUUCCACUGAGGCUGCUGCUGCCACCAUAAAAGAUGAAAUGGAUCGUUCGAAUUUGCAUGAAGAGCAUGAUGAUGGAAAUGUCGCUCAGGACAACGAAAAGCUCGGUGAAGAUGCAAAUGUCGAUAACGACAAAUAGAUGGAUGCAAAUUUAGCAACAUGAUGACUCUUUUCACUCAUCCUGUUCUCAACAUCAUGGGAAAUUUUAUUUGUAUUUUAGACAUUUUGGCAAAUUACGGCCUCUAAAAUAAUGUACGUAACUUUAUUUACCACACAGGAGGCGGUUCAGAGAUUUAUGUAAGCAUGCAUGUGGUGUCUGGCUCAGGUUUCCAACAGAGAUAGUCAUAGCAUUUUUAUGCGUUAUUUUUUUAAAUUUAAACAUGAAAAAUUCAUUUUUACACUGUGAGUAGAGUUUUGUAGUGUAAAGAUUGAUUGAAAGCUUUUCAGAUGACGAUAGAAUAUUUAUCAAGUAGAAAAAGUGCUCAGCCAUCUGAAAGUAAUCUACCAGGUGUCUACAGCGUCAACUAGUUGUUUAUUAAGAUGACGUGUAGCAUUUUAUACUAAUGUAUACUUAUUGCCUGGUACCUGCAUUCUGUGGUGGGUAUGAAUAAGAAGGUUCUCCAACCAUAGUUAUUGUGAUUUCUAUUGUACAGGGAUCUUUCAACAGUGGUUACAUCAUUUUCCACUGCUGUGUAAAAUACUUGUGAUUUUAACAUGUGUGCUUCACUCAUACCAGUUAAUGAAUUAAAAACCUAAGUAAAAUGUUCAUUUACAGCAGGAAACAUAUGAUACAGAAUUGCUAUGUUACUAGAAUUUUGACAGAAUACAUUACUGUUUGACGAACAAGCUUAAUAUGGAAACUUGUAUUGGAGUUGUAACUGCUGUUAGAUUAUUGUUAUUGUAGAAUUAUUGUAGGUAGAUAAGGGAAUUAUAGAAAAUUAUAGUUGGAAAUAGAAGUAGAUAUUUCAGUUAAAUAGACUGUUGUAACCAUGUAAGUGACCUUUGGAUGUGAUAGAUAAUAUCUGACUGAUGUAGCUGUGUAGUUUCUGUGCUACAAUUGGGUAUGAUUACAUGAAUUAUCAAUUUAUUGGUUGUUAUAAGUGACUUGUAAAAUUUUUGUGAGAAUUAAGUAAAAAAUAGGUGUCAAUACCAUUUUUUAUACAAUGUGAGAAACGAGUGUUUAGCUUCUAUAUUACAUACAGUAUCAUACAUGACAGUUAAUUAUAGCCCUUUAUGGUAUAACCAAAUAUACUGAUAAAUUUCUAAUUGGAUAAAGAUAAAUUUGUGGGUAAUGUGUUUCCUCUAAAUAUAUCAUGUGUAUAUUACUAUGAAUCCUAAAAGAUAACUAAUGAAAUUUUAGUAUUACACAGUUCUACUUACCAGUAAUCAUUUUUCUAUGACUCUUCUAAAAACCGAAGUUGCUGAGCACCUGUACUGCUAUAAGUUUGCUAACAAUGUGUAAAACAUAUAGUUUGACACUUGUUCAUAUAUAGAAACUAGUUAUCAUUGAAAUAUUUGUGAAAAUACUUAUGGAAUUGGAAAUAUCAC